UGGCUCUUAGCAGCAAUCGCCCCCCUCUGUCGAAUGCACCAAAGUACCGAAUAGCGCUCUUCUAGUUAUUCGGUAAGCAGAGUUCCAGCGUUCGUCUGAGACCGGUGUUCGUGGAGUUUCCGAUUUCAGUUCCAUACACUCGACGACCAAGUCCCGCUGCCUUUGUGCGUAUGAACAAAGUUUGAGACCGGUGUUCAUGGAGUUUCCGAUUUCAGUUCCAUACACUCGACGACCAAGUCCCGCUGCCUUUGUGCGUAUGAACAAAGAUGGCCACGGUUUUCUCUGACA
Non-coding RNA from Pelobates cultripes (western spadefoot toad), 288 nucleotides. NCBI's taxonomy places the organism in Eukaryota, Metazoa, Chordata, Amphibia, Anura, Pelobatidae. The record is from the annotation of a GenBank genome assembly.